CUACGGGCGGCACCAGUGGGGAAUAUUGGACAAUGGGCGAAAGCCUGAUCCAGCAAUACCGCGUGUGUGAAGAAGGCCUGAGGGUUGUAAAGCACUUUCAAUAGGAAGGAAUACCUAUCGGUUAAUACCCGGUAGACUGACAUUACCUAUACAAGAAGCACCGGCUAACUCCGUGCCAGCAGCCGCGGUAAUACGGAGGGUGCAAGCGUUAAUCGGAAUUACUGGGCGUAAAGCGUGCGUAGGCGGUUAUUUAAGUCAGAUGUGAAAGCCCUGGGCUUAACCUGGGAACUGCAUUUGAUACUGGAUGACUAGAGUUGAGUAGAGGAGAGUGGAAUUUCAGGUGUAGCGGUGAAAUGCGUAGAGAUCUGAAGGAACACCAGUGGCGAAGGCGGCUCUCUGGACUCAAACUGACGCUGAGGUACGAAAGCGUGGGUAGCAAACAGGAUUAGAUACCCCUGUAGUC
This 463-nucleotide ribosomal RNA is filed under the name uncultured bacterium. RNAcentral describes it as "partial 16S ribosomal RNA". It matches the Rfam family "Bacterial small subunit ribosomal RNA", at positions 339 to 795 of the family's 1533-position model. The record is from RNAcentral.